UUGAAUGUGGUACAACUAGCCAUGUUGUGAACUUGGCAAAACAGAAUUGUACUUGCAAGUAUUAGGAUUUGAUUGGAAUCUCUUAUAAGUAUGCUACUUCAGCGAUUUUUUUGAAUCCGCGCAUACUUUGUUCUUCCAUUUCUUUUUUUCUAACCCAUUCUUUGCUUUGAAUUCUUCGUUUUGUCUUUAUUUUAUCUCUUUAUUCAUUCAAUUCAGAGUCAAAGACGAAACAGAAGAACUUCUAUUCUUCUAUUGGAAUCCCUAUCUAAAUCCACAGUAGUAGGGUGGAUUAGAUAUAUUUUGGAA
This 306-nucleotide long non-coding RNA is filed under the name Durio zibethinus. RNAcentral's name for it is "long non-coding RNA (DZIB_LNC000273)". Lineage: Eukaryota; Viridiplantae; Streptophyta; Magnoliopsida; Malvales; Malvaceae. The record is from RNAcentral.